Molecule: ribosomal RNA, 401 nt
Filed under: uncultured bacterium
Lineage: Bacteria
Description: bacterial SSU rRNA
Rfam family: Bacterial small subunit ribosomal RNA
Source: RNAcentral
GGGGAAUUUUGGGCAAUGGGCGAAAGCCUGACCCAGCAACGCCGCGUGAGGGAUGAGGUAUUUCGGUAUGUAAACCUCGAAAGAAUGGGAAGAAUAAAUGACGGUACCAUUUAUAAGCUCCGGCUAACUACGUGCCAGCAGCCGCGGUAAUACGUAGGGAGCAAGCGUUGUUCGGAUUUACUGGGCGUAAAGGGCGCGUAGGCGGCGCGGUAAGUCACUUGUGAAAUCUCUGAGCUUAACUCAGAACGGCCAAGUGAUACUGCUGUGCUAGAGUGCGGAAGAGGCAACCGGAAUUCUUGGUGUAGCGGUGAAAUGCGUAGAUAUCAAGAGGAACACCUGAGGCGAAGGCGGGUUGCUGGGCCGACACUGACGCUGAUGCGCGAAAGCCAGGGGAGCAAACG